Plodia interpunctella (Indianmeal moth) is the source of this 774-nucleotide long non-coding RNA. RefSeq lists it as uncharacterized. The record is from RefSeq and is a predicted model, not a curated record. The transcript is spliced from 2 exons. Lineage: Eukaryota; Metazoa; Arthropoda; Insecta; Lepidoptera; Pyralidae.
CACUCACAUAUCUACACAAGUAAACAAAUAAACUACACGUUGAUCUUUUAAUUAACCAAGUAACAUAUCCGUAAUUUCGAUAAAAUAAUCACUGGCUCGGUGGUAUUGCGGUAUUGAAUCAGACUCGUAAUCGCAAGAUCAAUGGUUCAAUCCCCGCUAUAGUGAUCUUGUGCAGUUUUUUUAAAGUUUGAUUAUAAUGUUUUAAUAGGAACAGAAAUUAUAAACGUUUCUAAAGAAUGUUUAAAAGUGAAGGGUAAGACUGAUUUAACAUUUUCUUAAACGGUAAAAAGUUACGUAACUGAAGAAAUUACACAGCGAUUGAUUUUAACUCGUGACUUUGCGUUGUUACUAGUUCGCUAGCGAGAGUGAUUGUGCUGUGACAAAGUUGAUUAAAUACUACGUUCCCUAACUAUGCAAGCUAAUAUUAGUAUGCAGGAAAGGACGCGCAUUAUCGAAAAUCUAGAUACAUAUAAUAUGAGAUAUACUAUAUCUACAAUUGCUAAUGAGACAAGAUUUACCUACUUAGAUAACGGUAAAGGGGCGGAAAACUCGUUUUCCAGAAGGUAUUGUUGUAACCACUAAGUCACGUAUAGUGGUCGUCUGCGGCAUUAGUGCAUCAGCGAAGCUUCAUGGUUGAAGAUUUUGACAGGAGUACUAUGUUUAAUGAUGAGAAGUCGUUUUUGUCAUCUCAACAUGGAAGACUUCACUUAUGGCGCAGGGUUGCAACUCGUUAGUGACCAAAAUGUUAUGGCAAAUAUGGAAUCUGAACGAACU